RNAcentral lists this ribosomal RNA (466 nucleotides) under uncultured bacterium. Its description in RNAcentral is "bacterial SSU rRNA". It matches the Rfam family "Bacterial small subunit ribosomal RNA", at positions 328 to 792 of the family's 1533-position model. The record is from RNAcentral.
GUGCCAGACUCCUACGGGAGGCAGCAGUGAGGAAUAUUGGUCAAUGGGCGAGAGCCUGAACCAGCCAAGUCGCGUGAGGGAAGACGGCCCUACGGGUUGUAAACCUCUUUUGUCAGGGAGCAAGAACAGAUACGUGUAUCUGAGCGAGAGUACCUGAAGAAAAAGCAUCGGCUAACUCCGUGCCAGCAGCCGCGGUAAUACGGAGGAUGCGAGCGUUAUCCGGAUUUAUUGGGUUUAAAGGGUGCGUAGGCGGAUUUUUAAGUCAGCGGUAAAAUGUCCGGGCUCAACCCGGGCCGGCCGUUGAAACUGGGGAUCUUGAGUGGGCGAGAAGUAUGCGGAAUGCGUGGUGUAGCGGUGAAAUGCAUAGAUAUCACGCAGAACUCCGAUUGCGAAGGCAGCAUACCGGCGCCCGACUGACGCUGAGGCACGAAAGCGUGGGGAUCGAACAGGAUUAGAUACCCCCGUA